Molecule: ribosomal RNA, 347 nt
Filed under: uncultured Legionella sp.
Lineage: Bacteria; Pseudomonadati; Pseudomonadota; Gammaproteobacteria; Legionellales; Legionellaceae
Description: bacterial SSU rRNA
Rfam family: Bacterial small subunit ribosomal RNA
Source: RNAcentral
AGCUGGUCUGAGAGGAUGACCAGCCACACUGGAACUGAGACACGGUCCAGACUCCUACGGGAGGCAGCAGUGGGGAAUAUUGGACAAUGGGGGCAACCCUGAUCCAGCAAUGCCGCGUGUGUGAAGAAGGCCUGAGGGUUGUAAAGCACUUUCAGUGGGGAGGAGGAUGCUUCGGUUAAGAGCUAGAGUAUUGGACGUUACCCACAGAAGAAGCACCGGCUAACUCCGUGCCAGYAGCCGCGGUAAUACGGAGGGUGCGAGCGUUAAUCGGAAUUACUGGGCGUAAAGGGUUCGUAGGKGUUAAUUAAGUKRUCUGKAAAUCYCCGGGCCCCCCUGGGCAGGUCAGA